Lycium ferocissimum is the source of this 237-nucleotide long non-coding RNA. RefSeq lists it as uncharacterized. The transcript has 2 exons. The record is from RefSeq and is a predicted model, not a curated record. Lineage: Eukaryota; Viridiplantae; Streptophyta; Magnoliopsida; Solanales; Solanaceae.
GAUUUCUUCGCGUUCAACUAGCUUUAACUGUUCUUCAGGUCUGAAAAUUGAAAUCAAUCAACGCAUUAGAAUAAAAAUCACAAUUUAGAACGUUAAGAAAAAUAGUAAACACAGAGAGAAAUAGGAGAAUAAACUUCAGCCAAGCAAAAUCGGGGAAAGGUGCAAUAUAAUUUUGGGAAAAGGGAUGUUGUAAGGGCAGACUGGUUAGGUUCUUAUGACCAUUUUGGUCUUGUUUUU